Molecule: ribosomal RNA, 253 nt
Filed under: uncultured Lactobacillus sp.
Lineage: Bacteria; Bacillati; Bacillota; Bacilli; Lactobacillales; Lactobacillaceae
Description: partial 16S ribosomal RNA
Rfam family: Bacterial small subunit ribosomal RNA
Source: RNAcentral
UAUGUAGGUGGCAAGCGUUGUCCGGAUUUAUUGGGCGUAAAGCGAGCGCAGGCGGAAAGAUAAGUCUGAUGUGAAAGCCCCCGGCUUAACCGAGGAAUUGCAUCGGAAACUGUGUUUCUUGAGUGCAGAAGAGGAGAGUGGAACUCCAUGUGUAGCGGUGGAAUGCGUAGAUAUAUGGAAGAACACCAGUGGCGAAGGCGACUUACUGGACUGUAACUGACGCUGAGGCAUGAGAGCAUGGGGAGCAAACAGG